This is a long non-coding RNA of Acanthochromis polyacanthus (spiny chromis), 369 nucleotides long. RefSeq lists it as uncharacterized. The transcript is spliced from 2 exons. Lineage: Eukaryota; Metazoa; Chordata; Actinopteri; Pomacentridae. The record is from RefSeq and is a predicted model, not a curated record.
UAUAGUGACGCUGGGAGACGGGUCGCUCCGUUCAGCGUGCCGUGGGUGCUUCUGUGACGACAGGGUUUGGUGAGCCUCGGCGGCAGUUUAAUCCCUGGUGGUGGUUCACGGAUCCCCUUUUUCGUUGGUGUGUUGUCACAGGUGUGAUUAUUUGGACCCCCUUUUUCUUCUUUUUGGUUAUUUUUGUUUGCCUGCCGCCAUGGUAAGCCAGCCUGCUCCCUUUAUUGUUUAAGUUAAGUACUCCUGAUUCUUUAUUUUAAACUGGUGGCUUGCUUCUUAUCUUUAAUAAUCUAAUUAAAUAAAGAAAUUGUUAUAUUUUUGGAAACACGUCUCAGCCCAAGUGAUUACGAACCUGUGUGCCUUCAGUGU